Molecule: long non-coding RNA, 11055 nt
Filed under: Marmota monax (woodchuck)
Lineage: Eukaryota; Metazoa; Chordata; Mammalia; Rodentia; Sciuridae
Source: RNAcentral
GUGUUCUAGCCAAAGACAUCCUUCAGACCUUUCUGAAAAUGAAGGAUCCAGGGUCACCAAUUGCCUCUCCUUCAUGAUCCCUCUCUUCCCCCGCUUCCCUUGCUGAUGUGUGAGUAACUGUCCAUCUUCUCCCCAGAUGACCAGGCAUUGAUGUACCCUCAGGAAGUCCACACGCUCAAGGAGGCCGUCCCUGCUGGCUGCUGCUCACAUGGUUUCUGGGCCCCUGGCACUCCGGUAGGCUGAAAUGGAGACUUGGGGAAGGGAGAACAGCACCUGUUCUUUGUCCUUGGCGUUUUCUGGGCAGCUUACACAGCCCUGGCUUCUGUUCUGGCCUUGAAGUCUUGGGUUCAUUCAGUUCAGGACAAUGUCAAAGGAGCCUGGGGCCCACUGCCCAGGAUUGGGGGGUUGUUGUGAAUAUGUGAGCUCUCCUGUCUUUUGCUUGUUCUCUUGCUAAACUUGGGGCACUAGGUAUGCUGGGGACUGUCGAAGGUGUCACUGGCUUUGCCCUAGGGCCCAAUGUGGAAGGUACGCUUUGGGUUCUUUGUCUCUGCCUAAUAGGUUAGGGGAACAAGGAGUGGAAGAGUUAGUUCCUGACUGAGCCCUUUGGCAGGUGCUUGCUGUGGGGCUCUUGAGUGUUAUUUUUUGGGGCAUGUCACACCCAUGUUCACUCACAGUGAGGUGUGGAUCUGGGAAGAGCAUUUGUGUUAUGGGAGGGGAGGACAGGGUGUGGUAGGCAUGACUGCUUCCAGGGCUCUGCUCCUGUGGGAGACAAAGCUGGGUGCUCUGGGAGGGGUAGGAGCACAAACACCUGGUGGUGGCAAGGUUUAGAGCUGUUCAGCUACUUACAGAGACUGUACCCUUAACAGCAGGUACAGAACUGCCUUGGGACGAUCAUUUCUUUCCUUCUGGGGCCCAUUGUAUACUUCCUUGCCUUUUUUUUCCCUGUGGGGUGUCUUGCUUGGCAGAGAAACGGCUCAGGUUGGGAGUCUGGUUGGACCUCAUGAGCACACACUGCACCAGUGGGCUGAUAAGUUCCUGUGGAGACCAGAGGCAUCUGUGUGUUUGUUACUUAAUGACCUCAAUUAGUGUUUGUGCCAGCCCGUCUAGCAGGGGCCAGCUGGCUGCCUUUCCCAGUCACAGACAGUUAUGGCCCUUAGAAAAGGUGCAGGGUUUAGGGGCUGGGGGUAGUGCCCCAGUGCUUGCCCCAACAAGGUCCUUCUCAAUGUAGGUGGGCUCUGCAAAGACCAGAAGCCAUGGGAGAGACUACAGUAUGGUGGUGGUGGUGUGGGAAGCAGGAUUGGUACUCUUAGCACAUCAGAAAGCCUGAGCCACCUCUUAAGAGGUACCCCAGUGUAGAGUAGAGGUUUCAGACCAGCAGAUGUGUUUGAUUUGGCCACACAGUAUUUUUAAAAAGAACCUUCUUCUAGUAGAGGGAGAUGACUAUGAAAAUCUGAAUUUCUAACUUGUCUAGAAAGUUGAAAACAGCCCUGUGGGCCUGCAUGCUCCAGAGGGCUAGGUCUGUUUUACCAAGGGCUCUAGCUCCCCUACAGAGGCCUCUGUUCCUCAAAUUCCAUAUCCACCUGCUAGUCAUUUUGGGUUCCCUGCUUGUCCAUGUGGGCCUAUGAUUGACUUCUUUUAGUGUGGAGAUAGUAGCCUAUGUUCUGAAGUCAAAUUCAGACCCCAGUUUUUCUGCUUGGCACCCUCCUUGCUUCAUUUUCUCAUCAGUGCAAAUAGGUGUGGGGGAAUGCUGUGUCCUUUCUCAAACAGUUUAAGUCUUUCAUGAGGUGAUCUGUAUGUACAGUGCCUGCACACAGCAGGAUUGAGUUUCUUCUCUGUGCCUAAGGGGGUAGAACUGAGUGCAGGUCUCAGCUACCUGCUUAGUGCAUAAUUCCUUGAGUGCCAUCCAGAGUUCCACUGUGCUCUAGGACCCUGGAGUGAGUUAACGUGUAUGCCUGUUCUUGCCUACAGGUGGUGUGCGUGGGCAGGGCGUGGGGACAUGGGGCCCGACAUGGAGCUGCCCAGCCACUCAAAGCAGCUCCUGCUACAACUGAACCAGCAGAGGACCAAGGGCUUCCUGUGUGAUGUCAUCAUCAUGGUGGAGAACUCAAUUUUCCGGGCCCAUAAGAAUGUUCUGGCUGCCAGUAGCAUCUACUUCAAAUCCCUGGUCCUACACGACAACCUCAUCAAUCUGGACACAGACAUGGUCAGCUCCACAGUAUUCCAGCAGAUCCUUGACUUCAUCUACACAGGCAAGCUGCUGCCCAGCGACCAGCCAGCUGAGCCCAACUUCAGCACUCUUCUCACUGCCGCCAGCUACCUCCAGCUGCCUGAGUUGGCAGCCCUCUGCCGCCGCAAACUCAAGCGAGCUGGCAAGCCCUUUGGCUCUGGACGGGUUGGGGCUGCUGGCAUGGGGCGACCAUCCCGUAGCCAGCGGCUAUCCACAGCCUCUGUUAUCCAGGCUCGGUAUCCAGGGCUUGCGGACGGGCGCAAAGGAACCCACACCCACCAGGAGCUCCCACUAGCCAAAGGCUCAGAUGAUGAGCUCUUUCUCAGUGGCUCCACCCAGGAGAGUACACAUAGCCUAGGCCGGGGGGUCUGCCCAACCAGUGGAGAGGUAGGCCUAGGGGGCUGCAGUAGCAGCACCAAUGGAAGCACUGGGGGCUGUGAACAGGAGCUGGGUCUUGACCUGUCCAAGAAGAGCCCACCCCUGCCCCCCACAACUCCCGUACCCCACCUCACCCCUGAUGAUCCAGCCCAACUGAGCGACAGUCAGCAGGACUCACCACCUUCGGCCUCUGCCCUUCCCAUUGCCAAUAGUGCCUCUUAUGCUGAGCUGGGAGGCACCCCUGAUGAGUCUAUGGAUCUGGAGGGGGCUGAGGAUAACCAUCUGAGUCUGCUGGAGGGGUCAGGUGGGCAGCCUCGGAAGAGCCUCCGGCAUUCAUCCCGUAAGAAGGAGUGGAGCAAGAAGGAUCCUGUGGCUGGCUCCCCCUUUGAGCGGAGAGAAGCAGGGCCCAAGGGCCCCUGUCCUGGAGAAGAGAGUGAGGGGCUUGGGGACAGGGUUCCCAAUGGCAUUCUAUCUGGCAGUGUUGGGGGAGGAGGCCCCAGUGGGCCCUAUGGGGAUCCCCCAUACCCUUGCAAGGAAGAGGAGGAAAAUGGCAAGGACGGGAGUGAGGACAGUGGGCAGAGUGGUAGUGAGGGGGGCAGUGGCCACCCUGGCGCCCAUUACAUGUAUCGGCAAGAGGGCUAUGAGACAGUGUCAUAUGGAGACAACCUUUAUGUGUGCAUCCCUUGCGCCAAGGGCUUCCCCAGUUCUGAGCAGCUCAAUGCCCACGUGGAGACACACACCGAGGAGGAGCUGUUCAUCAAGGAGGAAGGGGCCUAUGAAACUGGCAGCGGGGGUGCUGAGGAGGAGGCAGAGGACUUGUCAGCGCCCAGUGCAGCCUACGCUGCUGAGCCCCGGCCCUUCAAGUGCUCUGUCUGCGAGAAGACUUACAAAGACCCGGCUACUCUACGGCAGCAUGAGAAGACACACUGGCUGACGCGGCCCUUCCCUUGUAACAUCUGUGGCAAGAUGUUCACGCAGCGUGGCACCAUGACCCGCCACAUGCGAAGCCACCUGGGCCUGAAGCCCUUUGCCUGUGACGAAUGUGGCAUGCGUUUUACCCGCCAGUACCGCCUCACUGAGCACAUGCGUGUGCACUCAGGUGAGAAGCCAUAUGAGUGCCAGCUCUGUGGGGGCAAGUUUACCCAGCAGCGUAACCUCAUCAGCCACUUGCGCAUGCACACCUCCCCCUCCUAGAAGCCAAAGACCCGCGGGCACCCUCUUCAGACUCACCACUUGGGAACCCACGGAAGAAGCCAGGAGGCAAGGCAGGUGGGGCUGGGACCCUGAGGUCCAGUGAGGCUCCUAUCAGCUCCUCUGACCCAGCCUCCCCACACCCAGAGCUUUAAUCUAUAGUCUGUACCAAGGGAAGCCAAGAGGAGAGAAGCCGGCAGGCUUAGCUCCCUGUGUGUGUUGCUGGUGACCAUUCUACCUCCCUGUCCCAUCUAGGUCACCAGCUCCCUGUAAGGGGCUUCUGCAGAGCCAUUGGGAGUGGGUCACAUGGGUCUUACUGAGACCUGGUCCCUUUCCUGCAGGUUGGGUUGGAGAAGGGGAGUAAGGGGUCCCUCUCAAUGCUGGUCGGGGACCAGGCUGCCUGUAGCUGGGGUGGUAUCUGGAGGAGGCCCCCCAAGCAGGGACUGGGUAUGUGUGCGUGCACGUGUGCUUGUGUCUAUGUGCAGGCGCGUGUGACCCUGGCUCUGGGGAGCAGGUGCUGGGAGGACAGUUUCUCCUUCCCUCCUUGAGCCAGGGCAGCACUGCUCAUUGGCGCUGGGAUAGUCAGGGUGACCCCACCGCCUACCUCUCUACAACUAAAGAGCCCUCUGGGCCGAUGUUGCUGUUAUUCCUACUGAUCUGUUCCUUUUUUUUUUUUUUUUUCAAUUUUGGAUUCUGUUUUUAAACCAAAACAAACAAUAGUUUAUUUUCUUCCUGCCCCUUUGGGGCUGAGCCUGGGUCUGCAGACUGAAUGUAAUUGGGGCAGCUGCUCCUCCCCAUUGUCCUCCCCUAGCCCUGGUGGGCACUGUGGAACACACCAGUGAGCCCACCUCUUCAGGCCCCAGAGCCCUUUUUGCCUAAAGGCUUCCCUGGUCUCCAGUACUAUCUGGGCUGCCUCAGGAGUGCUUGCUUUUCCUAUAGUUUCUGAGGAAUAUUCUUUGUCUAGAGGUACUUGUUUUUUAUUAAGAGACACCCCAGUGUAACGUUUAUGGGACUGUUGGAACUGGAAGAUUCGUGGGGUGGGGGGGAGGCUAGACUUGCUGCCAGGGCUGUCGGUACUCUCAUUUUUCAUUUCUGUGUGUGUGGGUAAGUGUAUGGUGUGUGCAGUAUGUAUGGACAGAUGUUUCACUUUCUUUCCUCACUGAACAAGGUGGAGAGACUUCUGACCUUUUGCUACCUCUUGAAUUCAUGACAACAGCAUGUUGGUGACUGGCAGUUGAGGCCCCGAUGCUUUUGUUUUCCUCUGGUCAAGUGAGUUGGGCUCGGGCUGGCCCGAGUGUCCCUCCUGGGCCUCAAUGUUCUCUGAGGGGGCACUUGCUGCUCACUGGGCCUAGGUGAGAAAUAUGAGCUGCUCACAAGGGGCAGGUACCCCAAGCCUCCUGAGCAGCACAGGAGCUUAGAGGAGGAAGCAUCUCUGGACAGUUCCCUGGCAGGGCCAGGAUGAGGCGGAAGUGAGCCCCCACCCAUCCUGUGCCCUAGCUUUGAGCUUGGGAGAGCAGUAGCCCCCUCUUACCCAGUGAGGUGCAAGGAAGAGCUGACCAAAGCACUGGGGAACAGGAUUAGCACUUCUCAAGCAGUCCUGGCCCCCAGUGCGAGAGGCUUGCCAUCACCCAGGGGCUCAGCCCUUUCUGGAGUCCCACCCUUUGCUCCUCAACACAGACUUCUCAGCCAGCCUCAAACACCUCCAUGGGCCAAGCCAGGCUCAAGGCCAGACCAAGGUCACCAUGCUCUGUCCUAUGUCCUUGGCUAACUGGAGUCAGAGCUGGGCCAGCAGGCUUUAUAUUCAUUUUGCUUCAUGCAUUUCUUGUCAGUUUUCUUUUGAUUUUAAGUUCAGACCAAAUAACUCCAGAGUCAUCCCUUACCCCACUUCUCUAGAGACCCUCCAGCUGAAAACAGCCUGAGUUCAGGGACCCAGUGGUGAACGGUGUAUUCUUGGGAGUGAGGGAGCUCUGGCCACAUUAGGGCUCCUGGCUGAGUCCUCCAUGUGGUGCCUCCAGCCCUGAGCUUAUUCCUCUUCUCUUUGGGUGGGAGACAGAGAAUUGGACCCUAGGUUUUAGUUUCAGCAAGUCAGGCUGAGCACUUGAGUGGAGGAGACCCCUGGGCUCCAGCUCACUCAGGGAGGGAGUGGGGCCAUAUAAGACUCCCUGCUCUUUUACCCCACCCCAACUCUCAGCACUUAAGCCACACGACACAAAGUCUGUACCGCCUGGGAAUUGUGCACGCCCCUGGCCUCAUGCAUGGCCUCCUGGGCCAUGGGCAGCUGCAUCUGUGAGGUGACUCGAAAGUAGGUGAUUCCUCUGCAGAACUUCAGGGACUGGGAGCAAAGCCCCCUCACUCAACGAUGUCUUUGCGACAUAGUAUUGUACCCACCUUAGUAUUGUAUCAAGCCUUUUCUGUAUUUUGAGAAAGCAAAACACUAGUUUCCUAUUUAAGAUUUUAAGGGUUUGUGGGGCGGGAUGGGGUUGACACAACACUUAGUUUUGUUUUCUUUUCCUUUGAUUCCAUGUUGGGUGCGUGCUUGUGUGUACGUAUGUGUGGAGAUGUUAAGAGCCUCACAAGGAAAUUAGGCCGUAGGAGGCCAAGGCGGCUUACAGUUCUCUGCUUUAGUCACUUAAUUCCUGAAUGUUUCGGAGAAACAGGAAACAGAAAAUAGCAGAUGUCAAUGUCCUGUAGGAAAGAAGAAGAAAAAAGAAAAAAAAAAAAAAAAAAAAAAAAAAAAGGAAAGCUCAUACCCAAAUUCACAAAACCUAUUUUUAAACCAAAGCACAUUUUGAAUGAGUAUGGAACCUCAGUGGGCUCAGAAAAAAAAAAGAUGCUAAUAUAUUUAUCUCAUUGUUUACAUAAACUUUUACAGUUUCAGACCUCAACAGCUGUAAGGCCAGUCCCAGGGAAUCCUCAUCUUCUGCUGGGGGUCCUUCUGAGUUAGCCCUGGAAUGGCUCAUGGGCAGAGAAGGGCUGGAGAAGAGGCUGGAAGCCUCUGUGGGAUCCACCUGAGCCUUCAUCCUCAUCCCUGGGGGCUCUCCAAGCCCAGCUGGCACCAAAGAGCUUAGGCCAGUGCUGAUCAGCUCCUGAGGCCUCCUGGCCAGGACCUCAGUAGUCCUGGCCAGCAGCGGGUGGCAAUCAGCUCUGGUGACAGGACCUAAGUCUGGGUUUGGGCCCCAGGGUGGAGGUGAGCUCCCCCUCCUACUCUGCCAGUGAUACUUAGGGGGUGAAUUGAUGUGAAGGUUUCAUUCAAGCCAAAAAGCAGAGACCUUUGCACAGCUCAGUUGACUCCACUGGGCUUCCACCCCCCACCCCAUGCAGGGGAAGAGGCUUACUGAGCCUGAUCCUUACAACACAGACGGUGCAAACACUCUUAACAGUGUUGUUUUUGUAUCAAUAUGUUUGUGCAGUGAUGAAUGUAUUUAUUUCUCAGACUUGGGGUGAAUGGGCAAGUGGCAGGCCGGGCUCUGCCACUGCUCACUCCCACUGGACCGAGCCACAGCAAGGGCUCCUUCAGGAUUGCAAAAAAGGAAAAAAGAAGUGAUGAACCUUUAAGCAAAUAAGAAUCUCAGAGACUUGCAGCAUAGCCAUACACCUCAGCCUGUGAAAUGAGCACUCUGGACCCAGAUUGACUCCCGAUUUCAUACAGCCGGGGGUGUGUUUCCUGUCCAACACCACUGGGGGGCAGUGGGCCAUUUGCCUGAUGCCCCCAAACUGUCAGUAUUCACUGGACUUCAGGCCCCUGUGCAGGAGUGCGAUCUGGCUGGGUUUGCAGGCAGCAGACCCCUGCCCCCUCCUGUGGCCAUCCUGAUUGAUGAUGGGAGUGGAGGGGGGCUGGCCUGGGCAGCCAGAAGGGCAGGGCUCAGGGAACAAGUGCUGCAUCCGUCCUGCCCCCAGAUUUGGGGGACAAAAGCUAUAAGCACCAGGCCUGAGAAUAACAGGGGUGCUCAGCCCUGCCAUGCCCCACUGAAGGGACCAAGGUUGNCUUAGAGGAGGAAGCAUCUCUGGACAGUUCCCUGGCAGGGCCAGGAUGAGGCGGAAGUGAGCCCCCACCCAUCCUGUGCCCUAGCUUUGAGCUUGGGAGAGCAGUAGCCCCCUCUUACCCAGUGAGGUGCAAGGAAGAGCUGACCAAAGCACUGGGGAACAGGAUUAGCACUUCUCAAGCAGUCCUGGCCCCCAGUGCAAGAGGCUUGCCAUCACCCAGGGGCUCAGCCCUUUCUGGAGUCCCACCCUUUGCUCCUCAACACAGACUUCUCAGCCAGCCUCAAACACCUCCAUGGGCCAAGCCAGGCUCAAGGCCAGACCAAGGUCACCAUGCUCUGUCCUAUGUCCUUGGCUAACUGGAGUCAGAGCUGGGCCAGCAGGCUUUAUAUUCAUUUUGCUUCAUGCAUUUCUUGUCAGUUUUCUUUUGAUUUUAAGUUCAGACCAAAUAACUCCAGAGUCAUCCCUUACCCCACUUCUCUAGAGACCCUCCAGCUGAAAACAGCCUGAGUUCAGGGACCCAGUGGUGAACGGUGUAUUCUUGGGAGUGAGGGAGCUCUGGCCACAUUAGGGCUCCUGGCUGAGUCCUCCAUGUGGUGCCUCCAGCCCUGAGCUAAUUCCUCUUCUCUUUGGGUGGGAGACAGAGAAUUGGACCCUAGGUUUUAGUUUCAGCAAGUCAGGCUGAGCACUUGAGUGGAGGAGACCCCUGGGCUCCAGCUCACUCAGGGAGGGAGUGGGGCCAUAUAAGACUCCCUGCUCUUUUACCCCACCCCAACUCUCAGCACUUAAGCCACACGACACAAAGUCUGUACCGCCUGGGAAUUGUGCACGCCCCUGGCCUCAUGCAUGGCCUCCUGGGCCAUGGGCAGCUGCAUCUGUGAGGUGACUCGAAAGUAGGUGAUUCCUCUGCAGAACUUCAGGGACUGGGAGCAAAGCCCCCUCACUCAACGAUGUCUUUGCGACAUAGUAUUGUACCCACCUUAGUAUUGUAUCAAGCCUUUUCUGUAUUUUGAGAAAGCAAAACACUAGUUUCCUAUUUAAGAUUUUAAGGGUUUGUGGGGCGGGAUGGGGUUGACACAACACUUAGUUUUGUUUUCUUUUCCUUUGAUUCCAUGUUGGGUGCGUGCUUGUGUGUACGUAUGUGUGGAGAUGUUAAGAGCCUCACAAGGAAAUUAGGCCGUAGGAGGCCAAGGCGGCUUACAGUUCUCUGCUUUAGUCACUUAAUUCCUGAAUGUUUCGGAGAAACAGGAAACAGAAAAUAGCAGAUGUCAAUGUCCUGUAGGAAAGAAGAAGAAAAAAGAAAAAAAAAAAAAAAAGGAAAGCUCAUACCCAAAUUCACAAAACCUAUUUUUAAACCAAAGCACAUUUUGAAUGAGUAUGGAACCUCAAUGGGCUCAGAAAAAAAAAAGAUGCUAAUAUAUUUAUCUCAUUGUUUACAUAAACUUUUACAGUUUCAGACCUCAACAGCUGUAAGGCCAGUCCCAGGGAAUCCUCAUCUUCUGCUGGGGGUCCUUCUGAGUUAGCCCUGGAAUGGCUCAUGGGCAGAGAAGGGCUGGAGAAGAGGCUGGAAGCCUCUGUGGGAUCCACCUGAGCCUUCAUCCUCAUCCCUGGGGGCUCUCCAAGCCCAGCUGGCACCAAAGAGCUUAGGCCAGUGCUGAUCAGCUCCUGAGGCCUCCUGGCCAGGACCUCAGUAGUCCUGGCCAGCAGCGGGUGGCAAUCAGCUCUGGUGACAGGACCUAAGUCUGGGUUUGGGCCCCAGGGUGGAGGUGAGCUCCCCCUCCUACUCUGCCAGUGAUACUUAGGGGGUGAAUUGAUGUGAAGGUUUCAUUCAAGCCAAAAAGCAGAGACCUUUGCACAGCUCAGUUGACUCCACUGGGCUUCCACCCCCCACCCCAUGCAGGGGAAGAGGCUUACUGAGCCUGAUCCUUACAACACAGACGGUGCAAACACUCUUAACAGUGUUGUUUUUGUAUCAAUAUGUUUGUGCAGUGAUGAAUGUAUUUAUUUCUCAGACUUGGGGUGAAUGGGCAAGUGGCAGGCCGGGCUCUGCCACUGCUCACUCCCACUGGACCGAGCCACAGCAAGGGCUCCUUCAGGAUUGCAAAAAAGGAAAAAAGAAGUGAUGAACCUUUAAGCAAAUAAGAAUCUCAGAGACUUGCAGCAUAGCCAUACACCUCAGCCUGUGAAAUGAGCACUCUGGACCCAGAUUGACUCCCGAUUUCAUACAGCCGGGGGUGUGUUUCCUGUCCAACACCACUGGGGGGCAGUGGGCCAUUUGCCUGAUGCCCCCAAACUGUCAGUAUUCACUGGACUUCAGGCCCCUGUGCAGGAGUGCGAUCUGGCUGGGUUUGCAGGCAGCAGACCCCUGCCCCCUCCUGUGGCCAUCCUGAUUGAUGAUGGGAGUGGAGGGGGGCUGGCCUGGGCAGCCAGAAGGGCAGGGCUCAGGGAACAAGUGCUGCAUCCGUCCUGCCCCCAGAUUUGGGGGACAAAAGCUAUAAGCACCAGGCCUGAGAAUAACAGGGUGCUCAGCCCUGCCAUGCCCCACUGAAGGGACCAAGGUUGUCCUGUUCCCCAGAGUCACAUUGGGGCCAUUGUUACUGAACCUGUGAAUUGGAUGCCAGGAAUGAGGGAAUGGAGAGGGACCUAACCAGAGCCUCAGUCUGACAUUCCAAACUGGGUAUGGUAGGAGCUGUGGGAAUUGAGGCUGCCCAGGACCACCCCCCUUCCUAGGAUGCCCCCAGCUUCAGUCACCCCAGUUUAAUUUUCUACCAGGAACCCCUCCCCCUACCUCACCUUGCUAUUUAUUGCUGUAAUUUAUUGACCUCAAGAAUGCUGCAUAACAGACCUCACUUGGGGGCAAGGAGGAUCCCCAGGGCUCCCCCCCCUCCACUUGGUGGGGCCCUGUGGGGCCAGGUGCUGAGGGGAUCCUCUCUACCCCACCCAUCAUUUGCUUCCCCCCAGGGUCCCCAGGUUGGGCUCUGGCCCAUUCACAAAUACCUCGAGGGGAGGGGAAGAGAUGGGGUUAUAGCUGUUUUAAUUGGAACCGGAAGAGGGAUCAUGUCCUAGUUUAUACCCUUCCCAGAGAGGGGGAGGGACACCGGGAUCGCACUCCUGUACUGGCCACCGCCGUUGUCACUCAUCAUUGAGUUCACUUCUCUCUAGAGUUUGGAUAAAUUCAGGUCAGAGCUGCAGGUAUGCAGCCCUCCAGUGUCAUAGAAAAGCGAUUCGCUGAUGACUGAUCUCUCCAGAAGCGUGCAGUCUUAAUGUACAGUGAUGAG